UGGGGAAUAUUGCACAAUGGAGGGAACUCUGAUGCAGCGACGCCGCGUGAGUGAUGAAGGUUUUCGGAUCGUAAACCACUGUCAGAAGGGAAGAAAUCGCACUUUGCUAAUCAGCAGUGCCUUGACGGUACCUUCAAAGGAAGCACCGGCUAACUACGUGCCAGCAGCCGCGGUAAUACGGAGGGUGCAAGCGUUAAUCGGAAUUACUGGGCGUAAAGCGCACGUAGGCUGCUGUGUAAGUCAGAGGUGAAAUCCCACGGCUCAACCGUGGAACUGCCUUGGUUACUGCUUAGCUUGAAUCCGGCAGAGGGUGGCAGAAUUCCACGUGUAGGAGUGAAAUGCGUAGAUAUCUGGAGGAAUAUCAGUGGCGAAGGCGGCCUCCUGGAAUAAUAUUGACGCUGAGGUGCGAAAGCGUGGGGAGCAAACAGG
This 429-nucleotide ribosomal RNA is filed under the name Fusobacteriota bacterium. RNAcentral's name for it is "Fusobacteria bacterium partial 16S ribosomal RNA". It matches the Rfam family "Bacterial small subunit ribosomal RNA", at positions 355 to 776 of the family's 1533-position model. The record is from RNAcentral. Lineage: Bacteria; Fusobacteriati; Fusobacteriota.